Molecule: long non-coding RNA, 465 nt
Filed under: Fukomys damarensis (Damara mole-rat)
Lineage: Eukaryota; Metazoa; Chordata; Mammalia; Rodentia; Bathyergidae
Description: lncRNA (ENSFDAG00000030060.1)
Source: RNAcentral
GCAAAAACAGGCUUGUAAAAAUAUUACGGGGUGACAUCAUCCACCUGGUUCAACAGAUCUAGCACCAUGGAAACUUUGGCUCUUCUCCAAAGUCAAAAUGACCACAACCAUGAAAGCAAACCUUCUGAAUCCAUUCAUGACGUCUAUCCCUGAAAGAGGACUUCCACAAUGGUUUCAGGAAGAGGCAAGAAUGACAGAUAGAAGUAAAGGAGAGACUUGGACUGAGAUAAACUGGCUUCAUCACAUCUGGACAAGAUAGAUACUGCCUGGGAGAGACAGACAAGAGUGGAUGCCUUUGGAUGAGAAGUAAACAUCUACGUAAACAGACGCAUUCAAGACUUACUGCUGAAUGACCAAUCACCGCACAGAUACAACACACGAAUACUGCAUGCAUUUGAUAAUAAACAGAAAUGGUUGUGUCUAAUAUGCUCUUCACAAUUAAAUACAUUGUCCAUUGUAACCGAU